GGAAGAUAGUUGUGGCAAACUUUAGUGCAUCUUGGUGUGGCCCAUGCAAAUUAAUUACACCUUUCUUUGUUGAGCAAUCACUGAAGUAUCUUUCACUUGUUUUCUUGACAAUAGAUGUCGAUCAGUUAAUUGAUUUCAGCUCGUCGUGGGACAUCCGUGCAACUCCAACAUUCUUCUUCCUAAAAGACGGGCAGCAAAUAGAUAAGAUCGUGGGUGCCAACAAGCCUGAA
Molecule: unclassified non-coding RNA, 230 nt
Filed under: Hevea brasiliensis (rubber tree)
Lineage: Eukaryota; Viridiplantae; Streptophyta; Magnoliopsida; Malpighiales; Euphorbiaceae
Source: RNAcentral